GAUGAACGCUGGGGGUCUGCUUUACACAUGCAAGUCGAACGGACUCUUCGGAGUUUGUGGGGGACGGGUGAGUAACGCGUGAGAAUCUGCCUUCUGGUCUGGGACAACAGAGGGAAACUUCUGCUAAUCCCGGAUAAGCCUACGGGUGAAAGAUUUAUUGCCUGGAGAUGAGCUCGCGUCUGAUUUGCUAGUUGGUAAGGUAAAAGCUUUCCAAGGGGACGAUCAGUAGCUGGUCUGAGAGGAUGAGCAGCCACACUGGGACUGAGACACGGGCCAGACUCCUACGGGAGGGAGCAGUGGGGAAUUUUCCGCAAUGGGGGAAAGCCUGACGGAGCAAGACCGCGUGGGGGAGGAAGGGUCUAGGGUUGUAAACCCCUUUUCUUUGGGAAGAAGUACUGACGGUACCAAAGGAAUCAGCCUCGGGUAACUCCGUGCCAGCAGCCGCGGUAAUACGGAGGAGGGAAGCGUUUUCCGGAAUGAUUGGGGGUAAAGCGUCCGCAGUGGGCAUGUAAGUCUGCUGUCAAAACCCAGGGGUUUACUCUGGUUUGGGAGUGGAAACUACAAAGCUAGAGUCUGGUAGGGGGCAAGGGAAUUCCCGGUGUAGCGGUGAAAUGCGUAGAGAUCGGGAAGAACAUCGGUGGGGAAAGCGCUUGGGUAGACCAGAACUGACACUCAGGGACGAAAGCUAGGGAGCGAAUGGGAUUUGAUACCCCAGUAGUCCUAGCUGUAAACGAUGAUACUAGGUGUUGCCUGUAUCGACCCGGGAGUGCCGUAGCUAACGCGUUUAGUAUCCCGCCUGGGGAGUACGCACGCAAGUGUGAAACUCAAAGGAAUUGACGGGGGCGCACAAGCGGUGGAGUAUGUGGUUUUAUUCGAUGUAACGCGAAGAACCUUUCCAGGGGUUGACAUGUCGCGAAUCUAGGGGAAACCUUGGAGUGCUUCGGGAGCGCGAACACAGGUGGUGCAUGGGUGUCGUCAGCUCGUGUCGUGAGAUGUUGGGUUUAGUCCCGCAACGAGCGCAACCGUCUUUUGUUGCCAGCAUUUAGUUGGGGACUCUGAAGAGACUGCCGGUGACAAACCGGAGGAAGGUGGGGAUGACGUCAAGUCAGCAUGCCCCUUUCGCCCUGGGGUACACACGUACUACAAUGGUCUGGACAGAGGGUAGCCAACCCGCGAGGGUGAGCCAAUCCCUAAAACCAGGGCUCAGUUCAGAUUGCAGGGUGCAACUCGCCUGCAUGAAGUCGGAAUCGCUAGUAAUCGCAGGUCAGCAUACUGCGGUGAAUCCGUUCCCGGGGCUUGUACACACCGCCCGUCACACCAUGGAAGUUGGGCACGCCCGAAGUCAUUUCUCUAACCCGUAAGGGAGGGGGAUGCCGAAGGGAGGGGUGAUGACUGGGGUGAAGUCGUAACAAGGUAGCCGUACCGGAAGG
Molecule: ribosomal RNA, 1430 nt
Filed under: Oscillatoria sancta SERB 31
Lineage: Bacteria; Bacillati; Cyanobacteriota; Cyanophyceae; Oscillatoriales; Oscillatoriaceae
Description: bacterial SSU rRNA
Rfam family: Bacterial small subunit ribosomal RNA
Source: RNAcentral